Molecule: long non-coding RNA, 475 nt
Organism: Pelodiscus sinensis (Chinese soft-shelled turtle)
Lineage: Eukaryota; Metazoa; Chordata; Testudines; Trionychidae
Source: RefSeq, a predicted model, not a curated record
CAGACUUUAUGAGCAAGCAGGCAGGGCAGAUGCUUUUCUAAGGCCUGUGUGAGCUGGAAGAAGCUAAGCCAGGCGCAGAGAACUGGCUGCUGUUCCUCACUCUGCAGCACUUUGCAGCCGGUAGUGCUGUUGUGAACCCUCCACCAGGGAUCAUGGGCAAUGCUACUUGGAGAAUACCACUUGAAUGCAGAAAACAAGAGCCAAGCUAUUCUGGGAGGACCUGUAUGAAGCUCCUAUCUGCUUUGCUGACCAGACAGAGAGGGCAACAACCACACAUCUUUGAGGAAGUCUGAUGGCAGUGCACAGUUUGACAGCAUGGGACAUGCUGAGGGGAGAAAUUCACACUACUUUUGCUCUUUUGGUCCUGCUGUUGCUCCUGCUUCCUGGAGCCCUCUCUGGCCAGCUCUCUCCUGUGGCUGCCUACCUGCUUGCCUUCUGUUCCUGGGCCUCUCCCUCCUAAGACUGCUGCCACCAC